GAAUUCGAUUAUCUGGUUGAUUCUGCCGGACCCGACUGCUAUCAGAGUGAGAUUAAGCCAUGCGAGUCAACGUAGCAAUACGUGGCAUACGGCUCAGUAACACGUAGUCAACAUAACCAAAGGACGUGGAUAAACUCGGGAAACUGAGGCUAAACCGCGAUAGAUCAAGAUACCUGGAAUGGUUCUUGAUCAAAAUCUAUAUGGCCUUUGGAUUGGACUGCGUCCGAUCAGGCUGUUGGUGAGGUAAUGGCCCACCAAACCUAUAACCGGUACGGGCUCUGAGAGGAGGAGCCCGGAGAUGGGUACUGAGAUGAGGACCCAGGCCCUAUGGGGCGCAGCAGGCGCGAAACCUCUGCAAUAGGCGAAAGCUUGACAGGGUUACUCUGAGUGACUUUCGUUAAGAAAGUCUUUUGACACCUCUAAAAAUGGUGUAGAAUAAGGGGUGGGCAAGUCUGGUGUCAGCCGCCGCGGUAAUACCAGCACCCCGAGUGGUCGGGACGAUUAUUGGGCCUAAAGCAUCCGUAGCCGGCCUUACAAGUCCUCCGUUAAAUCCAGCUGCUUAACAGAUGGGCUGCGGAGGAUACUAUAAGACUAGGAGGCAGGAGAGGCAAGCGGUACUCAGUGGGUAGGGGUAAAAUCCGUUGAUCCAUUGAAGACCACCAGUGGCGAAGGCGGCUUGCCAGAAUGCGCUCGACGGUGAGGGAUGAAAGCUGGGGGAGCAAACCGGAUUAGAUACCCGGGUAGUCCCAGCCGUAAACGAUGCAGACUCGGUGAUGGACUAGCUUUAUGCUGGUCCAGUGCCGCAGGGAAGCCGUUAAGUCUGCCGCCUGGGUAGUACGGUCGCAAGACUGAAACUUAAAGGAAUUGCGGGGGAGCACCACAAGGGUGAAGCCUGCGGUUCAA
This 903-nucleotide ribosomal RNA is filed under the name uncultured archaeon. RNAcentral describes it as "bacterial SSU rRNA". It matches the Rfam family "Archaeal small subunit ribosomal RNA", at positions 1 to 905 of the family's 1478-position model. The record is from RNAcentral.